This 253-nucleotide ribosomal RNA is filed under the name uncultured bacterium. RNAcentral's name for it is "partial 16S ribosomal RNA". It matches the Rfam family "Bacterial small subunit ribosomal RNA", at positions 524 to 776 of the family's 1533-position model. The record is from RNAcentral.
UACGGAGGGUGCAAGCGUUGCUCGGAAUUAUUGGGCGUAAAGCGCGCGUAGGCGGUUACUCAAGUCGGAUGUGAAAGCCCUCGGCUUAACUGAGGAAGUGCACCCGAAACUGAGUAGCUAGAGUACUAAAGAGGGUCGCGGAAUUCCCGGUGUAGAGGUGAAAUUCGUAGAUAUCGGGAGGAACACCGGUGGCGAAGGCGGCGACCUGGGUAGAUACUGACGCUGAGGCGCGAAAGCGUGGGGAGCAAACAGG